GACGAACGCUGGCGGCGUGCUUAACACAUGCAAGUCGAACGGUGAAGCGCUUUCCUUUUUGGUUGGUGUGGAUGAGUGGCGAACGGGUGAGUAACACGUGAGUAACCUGCCCCCUUCUUCUGGAUAACCGCAUGAAAGUGUGGCUAAUACGGGAUAUUCUGCGCCUGCUGCAUGGUGGGUGUGGGAAAGAUUGUGCCUUUGGGUGUUUUCGGUGGGGGAUGGGCUCGCGGCCUAUCAGCUUGUUGGUGGGGUGAUGGCCUACCAAGGCGGUGACGGGUAGCCGGCCGGAGAGGGUGGAGGGUCACACUGGGACUGAGACACGGCCCAGACUCCUACGGGAGGCAGCAGUGGGGAAUAGUGCACAAGGGGCGCAAGCCUGAUGCAGCGACGCCGCGUGAGGGAUGGAGGCCUUCGGGUUGUGAACCUCUUUCGCCAGUGAAGCAGGCCUGCUCCUUGUGGGUGGGUUGACGGUAGCUGGAGAAGAAGCGCCGGCUAACUACGUG
This 503-nucleotide ribosomal RNA is filed under the name uncultured bacterium. RNAcentral's name for it is "partial 16S ribosomal RNA". It matches the Rfam family "Bacterial small subunit ribosomal RNA", at positions 28 to 507 of the family's 1533-position model. The record is from RNAcentral.